Hyla sarda is the source of this 182-nucleotide small nuclear RNA. RefSeq annotates it as U2 spliceosomal RNA. The record is from RefSeq and is a predicted model, not a curated record. Lineage: Eukaryota; Metazoa; Chordata; Amphibia; Anura; Hylidae. The transcript has a single exon.
AUUGCUUUUUGACCUUUUGGCUAAGAUCAAGUGUAGUAUCUGUUCUUAUCAGUUUAAUAUCUGAUACAUCUCCCAUGCGGGGACCAUAUAUUAAAUGGAUUUUUGAGAACAGAGACCGAUUUCUUAAAUCGCCCUAUGCAUUGACCCAGUAAGGCAGUAUCUUUGGAUGCAGUGCACCAAAC